RNAcentral lists this ribosomal RNA (255 nucleotides) under uncultured bacterium. Its description in RNAcentral is "partial 16S ribosomal RNA". It matches the Rfam family "Bacterial small subunit ribosomal RNA", at positions 524 to 776 of the family's 1533-position model. The record is from RNAcentral.
UACGAAGGGGGCUAGCGUUUGUUCGGAAUUACUGGGCGUAAAGCGCACGUAGGCGGACUUUUAAGUCAGGGGUGAAAUCCCGGGGCUCAACCCCGGAACUGCCUUUGAUACUGGGUAUCUCGAGUCCGGAAGAGGUGAGUGGAAUUCCGAGUGUAGAGGUGAAAUUCGUAGAUAUUCGGGAGGAACACCAGUGGCGAAGGCGGCUCACUGGUCCGGUACUGACGCUGAGGUGCGAAAGCGUGGGGAGCAAACAGG